AUUGAACGCUGGCGGCAUGCCUAACACAUGCAAGUCGAACGGUAACAGGGCGCAUGGUGCUGAAUUGAGGCGAACAGGGGAGUAAAGUACCGAAACGUGCGCAGUCGUGGGGGGUAAAACGUCCAAAUACUGGCUAAUAUCCCACACGCGCCCUGGAUGAGAGCGGGGGAGCGCAUGGCAUCGCGCGAUUUGAGGGGCGGAUGUCAGAUUAGGUAGAUGGUGGGGUAAAGGCUCCCCAAGACAACGAUCUGUAACUGGUCUGAGAGGACGAGCAGCCACACUGGAACUGAGACACGGUCCAGACUCCUACGGGAGGCAGCAGUGGGGAAUUUUGGACAAUGGGCGCAAGCCUGAUCCAGCAAUGCCGCGUGAAUGAAGAAGGCCUUCGGGUUGUAAACUGCUUUAGGUCGGGAGGAAGGGAAUCAGGUUAAUACCCGGAUCUUAUGACGGUACCGUAAGAAUAAGCACCGGCUAACUUCGUG
Molecule: ribosomal RNA, 482 nt
Filed under: uncultured bacterium
Lineage: Bacteria
Description: partial 16S ribosomal RNA
Rfam family: Bacterial small subunit ribosomal RNA
Source: RNAcentral